Molecule: transfer RNA, 73 nt
Filed under: Acidobacteriota bacterium
Lineage: Bacteria; Pseudomonadati; Acidobacteriota
Also listed under: 2 other names
Description: tRNA-Lys
Rfam family: tRNA
About the family: Transfer RNA (tRNA) molecules are approximately 80 nucleotides in length. Their secondary structure includes four short double-helical elements and three loops (D, anti-codon, and T loops).
Source: RNAcentral
GAGGCUGUAGCUCAGUCGGUAGAGCAACGGACUUUUAAUCCGUAGGCCUCGGGUUCGAGUCCCGACAGCCUCA